RNAcentral lists this ribosomal RNA (567 nucleotides) under Parabacteroides faecis. RNAcentral's name for it is "bacterial SSU rRNA". It matches the Rfam family "Bacterial small subunit ribosomal RNA", at positions 1 to 560 of the family's 1533-position model. The record is from RNAcentral. Lineage: Bacteria; Pseudomonadati; Bacteroidota; Bacteroidia; Bacteroidales; Tannerellaceae.
ACAACGAAGAGUUUGAUCCUGGCUCAGGAUGAACGCUAGCGACAGGCUUAACACAUGCAAGUCGAGGGGCAGCAGGGAGUAGCAAUACUCCGCUGGCGACCGGCGCACGGGUGAGUAACGCGUAUGCAACCUACCUAUCAGAGGGGAAUAACCCGGCGAAAGUCGGACUAAUACCGCAUAAAACAGGGGUCCCGCCUGGGAAUAUUUGUUAAAGAUUUAUCGCUGAUAGAUGGGCAUGCGUUCCAUUAGAUAGUUGGUGAGGUAACGGCUCACCAAGUCUACGAUGGAUAGGGGUUCUGAGAGGAAGGUCCCCCACACUGGUACUGAGACACGGACCAGACUCCUACGGGAGGCAGCAGUGAGGAAUAUUGGUCAAUGGGCGAGAGCCUGAACCAGCCAAGUCGCGUGAAGGAUGAAGGAUCUAUGGUUCGUAAACUUCUUUUAUAGGGGAAUAAAGUGCAGGACGUGUCCUGUUUUGUAUGUACCCUAUGAAUAAGGAUCGGCUAACUCCGUGCCAGCAGCCGCGGUAAUACGGAGGAUCCGAGCGUUAUCCGGAUUUAUUGGGUU